AGCGAACGCUGGCGGCAGGCCUAACACAUGCAAGUCGAACGAACCUUUCGGGGUUAGUGGCGGACGGGUGAGUAACACGUGGGAACGUGCCUUUAGGUGCGGAAUAACUCAGGGAAACUUGUGCUAAUACCGAAUGUGCCCUUCGGGGGGAAGAUCUAUCGCCUUUAGAGCGGCCCGCGUCUGAUUAGCUAGUUGGUUGAGGUAAUGGCUCACCAAGGCGACGAUCAGUAGCUGGUCUGAGAGGAUGAUCAGCCACAUUGGGACUGAGACACGGCCCAAACUCCUACGGGAGGCAGCAGUGGGGAAUCUUGCGCAAUGGGCGAAAGCCUGACGCAGCCAUGCCGCGUGAAUGAUGAAGGUCUUAGGAUUGUAAAAUUCUUUCACCGGGGACGAUAAUGACGGUACCCGGAGAAGAAGCCCCGGCUAACUUCGUG
Molecule: ribosomal RNA, 434 nt
Filed under: uncultured bacterium
Lineage: Bacteria
Description: partial 16S ribosomal RNA
Rfam family: Bacterial small subunit ribosomal RNA
Source: RNAcentral